UUUCUUUUGCUGGCGACCGGCGCACGGGUGAGUAACACGUAUCCAACCUGCCCUUUACUCGGGGAUAGCCUUUCGAAAGAAAGAUUAAUACCCGAUAGCAUAAUGAUUCCGCAUGGUUUCAUUAUUAAAGGAUUCCGGUAAAGGAUGGGGAUGCGUUCCAUUAGGUUGUUGGUGAGGUAACGGCUCACCAAGCCUUCGAUGGAUAGGGGUUCUGAGAGGAAGGUCCCCCAUAUUGGAACUGAGACACGGUCCAA
RNAcentral lists this ribosomal RNA (254 nucleotides) under uncultured bacterium. RNAcentral's name for it is "partial 16S ribosomal RNA". It matches the Rfam family "Bacterial small subunit ribosomal RNA", at positions 79 to 334 of the family's 1533-position model. The record is from RNAcentral.